UAAUCACUUGUCUAUUAAUUGUAGACCUGUAUGAAAGGCAAAAUGAGGGCCUAACUGUCUCUUAUAAUCAAUCAAUUAAACUGAUCUCCUAGUACAAAAGCUGGGAUACACACAUAAGACCAGAAGACCCUGUGAAGCUUAAACUAAACCAUCAAACCACAUGAUGAUUAAUUUCGGUUGGGGCGACCUUGGAAAAAAAAAGAACUUCCAAACAAAACACUAAAUAUAAAAUCAGGCCUACCAGCCAAAAACGACCCAGCAUUGCUGAUUAAUGAAACAAGUUACUCCAGGGAUAACAGCGCUAUCUUCUUCAAGAGCCCAUAUCAAAAAGAAGGUUUACGACCUCGAUGUUGGAUCAGGACAUCCUAAUGGUGCAGCAGCUAUUAAGGGUU
This 392-nucleotide ribosomal RNA is filed under the name Mimophis mahfalensis. RNAcentral's name for it is "partial 16S ribosomal RNA". It matches the Rfam family "Bacterial large subunit ribosomal RNA", at positions 1962 to 2573 of the family's 2925-position model. Lineage: Eukaryota; Metazoa; Chordata; Lepidosauria; Squamata. The record is from RNAcentral.